This 88-nucleotide ribosomal RNA is filed under the name Enochrus coarctatus. RNAcentral describes it as "partial large subunit ribosomal RNA". The record is from RNAcentral. Lineage: Eukaryota; Metazoa; Arthropoda; Insecta; Coleoptera; Hydrophilidae.
CCAGGUUGGAUUCUAUCUUUAAAUAAUUAAAAUGAUUUAGUACGAAAGGACCCAUUAUUUGUAAUAUUUAUUGUAUUUUUGAACAAAA